RNAcentral lists this transfer RNA (65 nucleotides) under Rhabdoblatta atra. RNAcentral describes it as "tRNA-Leu". It matches the Rfam family "tRNA". Rfam says of the family: Transfer RNA (tRNA) molecules are approximately 80 nucleotides in length. Their secondary structure includes four short double-helical elements and three loops (D, anti-codon, and T loops). The record is from RNAcentral. Lineage: Eukaryota; Metazoa; Arthropoda; Insecta; Blattodea; Blaberidae.
ACUAUUUUGGCAGAUAAGUGUAAUAGACUUAGAAUCUAUAAAUGUAGUUAAUAUUACAGAUAGUA